Non-coding RNA from Podarcis lilfordi (Lilford's wall lizard), 73 nucleotides. NCBI's taxonomy places the organism in Eukaryota, Metazoa, Chordata, Lepidosauria, Squamata, Lacertidae. The record is from the annotation of a GenBank genome assembly.
GCCAGGAUAACUCAGUUGGUUAGAGUGUGGUGCUGAUAACCCCAAGGUUGCAGGUUUGAUCCUGUCUGGGACA